GUAGGUGAACCUGCGGAGGGAUCAUUAACACGUGCCAAAACACGUUUUAAACCAAUCAACUGUGAACAACAUCCAAAACUCCCUUCACAUAUGGACGAUCGAACAACCAUCAGGGUGGAGUGCAUGUGCAUAUGGAACAAUCGAUUCGGAUAGGAAACUUACCCGAUGAGACUCGAUAUGUCUUGCAACUAUGGCUCGGUCUAGGGCUCCUUUGAGAGUCCAAUCCUGUGUGAAGCGAUUGCGCGACCAC
RNAcentral lists this unclassified non-coding RNA (250 nucleotides) under plant metagenome. RNAcentral's name for it is "partial contains small subunit ribosomal RNA, internal transcribed spacer 1, and 5.8S ribosomal RNA". The record is from RNAcentral.